RNAcentral lists this ribosomal RNA (253 nucleotides) under uncultured bacterium. RNAcentral's name for it is "partial 16S ribosomal RNA". It matches the Rfam family "Bacterial small subunit ribosomal RNA", at positions 524 to 776 of the family's 1533-position model. The record is from RNAcentral.
UACGAAGGGUGCCAGCGUUACUCGGAAUUACUGGGCGUAAAGCGUGCGUAGGCGGUUUGUUAAGUCUGUCGUGAAAGCCCCGGGCUCAACCUGGGAAUGGCGAUGGAAACUGGCGAGCUAGAGUACGGUAGAGGAGAGUGGAAUUCCCGGUGUAGCAGUGAAAUGCGUAGAGAUCGGGAGGAACAUCAGUUGCGAAGGCGGCUCUCUGGACCAGUACUGACGCUGAGGCACGAAAGCGUGGGGAGCAAACAGG